GCCUUCGGGGUGUAAUGGUCAGCACACUGAGCCAGUAUUCAGAGGUCCGUGGUUCGAUUCCCGGCGAAGGCG
This is a non-coding RNA of Stegodyphus mimosarum, 72 nucleotides long. Lineage: Eukaryota; Metazoa; Arthropoda; Arachnida; Araneae; Eresidae. The record is from Rfam.